UUUCCGGUUGAUCCUGCCGGAGAUCACCGCUAUUGGGGUUCGAUUAAGCCAUGCGAGUCUUUGGCAGCAAUGCCAAGGCGAACUGCUGAGUAACACGUAGUCAACCUGCCCUUAAGUCAGGGAUAAUCUCGGGAAACUGAGCAUAAUACCUGAUACGUGAUAGCGCCUGGAACGGUUUAUCACUUAAAGCUUCGGCGCUUAAGGAUGGGACUGCGGUAGAUUAGGUUGAUGUUAGGGUAACUGCCUAACAUGCCUAUAAUCUAUAGGGGCUGUGAGAGCAGUAGCCCCCAGAUGGGUUCUGAGACACGAACCCAGGUCCUAAGGGACGCAGCAGGCGCGAAACCUCCGCAAUGCACGCAAGUGUGACGGGGGGACCUCAGGUGCUAGCACCACGAGUGUUAGCUUUUCGUGAGUUUAAAUUGCUCGCGGAAUAAGUGGUGGGUAAGACCGUUGCCAGCCGCCGCGGUAAUAACGGCACCACGAGUGGUGAUCACGCGUAUUGGGUCUAAAGCAUCCGUAGCCGGAUAGUCAAGUCAUUUGUGAAACUUCAUAGAAAACUGUGAAAAGUGCAAGUGAAACUAGCUAUCUUGGAACCGGGAAGGGUUAGAGGUACUUCUAGGGUAGAGGUGGAAUUCUGUAAUCCUAGAGGGACCACCUGUGGCGAAGGCGUCUAACUGGAACGGAUUCGACGGUGAGGGAUGAAAGCCAGGGGAGCAAAGGGGAUUAGAUAUGAGAAAACAUGCAAUCUGUCUCGUUUUCUCACUAAAUACCCCCGUAGUCCUGGCUGUAAACGAUGCCCGCUAGGUAUUGCCUGUUUUUCGUGAACAGGCAGUGCCGUAGGGAAGCCUUUAACGGGCCACCUGGGAAGUACGGUCGCAAGGCUGAAACUAAAGGAAUGGCGGGGGAGCAACAACAAAGGGACCGC
Molecule: ribosomal RNA, 925 nt
Filed under: uncultured archaeon
Lineage: Archaea
Description: bacterial SSU rRNA
Rfam family: Archaeal small subunit ribosomal RNA
Source: RNAcentral